RNAcentral lists this ribosomal RNA (253 nucleotides) under uncultured bacterium. Its description in RNAcentral is "partial 16S ribosomal RNA". It matches the Rfam family "Bacterial small subunit ribosomal RNA", at positions 524 to 776 of the family's 1533-position model. The record is from RNAcentral.
UACGUAGGGUCCGAGCGUUGUCCGGAGUUAUUGGGCGUAAAGCGCGCGCAGGCGGCUUGGCGCGCCCGACGUGAAAGCCCCCGGCUUAACCGGGGAGGGUCGUCGGGUACGGUCAGGCUUGAGGGCGGGAGAGGGUGGUGGAAUUCCCGGUGUAGUGGUGAAAUGCGUAGAGAUCGGGAGGAACACCUGUGGCGAAGGCGGCCACCUGGGCCGACCCUGACGCUGAGGCGCGAAGGCGUGGGGAGCGAACAGG